GAGAAAAACUCACUUUCCGGGUCGAUACCAUCGGAGUUGGGUGAGUUUCCCAGGUUGGCAAACUUGAAUCUUGCUUCAAAUCUUCUCACAGGCAACAUACCAAAUUCAUUGUCAAUGAUGGCCUCGUUGAACUCUCUGAAUCUUUCGAGUAACAAACUUAGUGGCUCAAUUCCACCAAGCUUGGAUAACCUGAAGUUAUCUUCAUUGGAUCUCUCUAACAAUCAGCUAACUGGAAGAGUUCCUACAGAUCUUUU
Molecule: unclassified non-coding RNA, 254 nt
Filed under: Hevea brasiliensis (rubber tree)
Lineage: Eukaryota; Viridiplantae; Streptophyta; Magnoliopsida; Malpighiales; Euphorbiaceae
Source: RNAcentral